CAAAAGAUCCCUGAACCUCCACCAAACAAACAAACCAAAAAAACCACCAGAAAAACUCCCUCCAACAAGCACCUCUCAUUGAGAUGCUUCAGCAAGAGGAGAAACAGAAAAAAAGAAACUUUUGUGAAGAAAAAAGAGUCAUUUUCUACUAUUUUCAUCAAAGGCAAACUUCUAAUGACUUGGCAACAGUAAGAGGAGACAAGAAGCAAAGCUGACCUGCUGUGUGCAACUGAGGGAGCAAUUGGACCUGUCAUGUUUGUUCCUUUUGUUGACUACAAAAUAGUUAGGGGAAGCAAACCCACUAUCUUUUUGCUUGAAUAUGAUACUUAUAGUAAAUAUAAGUUAAUUCCUCAAAGUUUGUUCCUGGUACUUUUUUUUUUUUUUUUUCCCUAAAGCCUUCUUGUCAAGUAAACUCUGUGUGGCUUUCCAUCCCUGGAGAUUUGGAUUCACUGCCUUCCAGCAUGCAUGUUUGACUAUAUAAUGGUUUCUCUGCUUUGAAGCAGAGAAAUGCACCCAUGCUUCUAGCCUUUAUGUUGUAAUAUCACUCUUUUUCCCCCACAGAAAGCAUCUAAAUAUAAAUAAGAGUGCAAAUAUCUGGAAAACAAAAAAAGAAAUAAUUUUCAGUUACAUUAAAAUCCCUUGAUACAGGGAAAAUGCAGAAACAUUCUUUUGUUUCUGUCACUUUCUUUGAAACUAAAACAUUGGUUUAUAAUGGGACUGAGAGUGCUUUAUACAACAGGAGUUAAAUUCACAGCUGGACAGGGUUCUUGCAUGCAUCAGCAAAGACUUGCAUCAGGCCCCUAAGGACUUCAAUGGAACUGAGUUAGAAUGCUCCCAUGAUUCUAUGCAGAGCCUUUAAUCUCAUACAAUGCUUGAGAAAACUGCAUUAUAUUCUUGAAAAAAAAAAUAUUAUACACUAGUCAAAGAUGUGUGUUGUCUGAAAUUAUCAUGCCUGUCUGGUUCUAUUUUGGUAUCACUUGCCUAAGUUCAGAGAGCACAUGACUUUGUCAUUCUGUCUUUCUGCCUCCUUAGAGGCUCAACUGAAAGAUUAGUCUCAGCUAAUCUUGACCUAUACAAGCAGAAUUGUAAGGGAAACAGCACAAUAUUUUUUGCACUUUUAAUAAUAAAAAAGUGCAAACACUUCAUAUUUGUACAUAUUAUUAUUAUUUUCUAAUUUAGAAGACAAAAUGUGCUUCUCAAACAGAAGAAUUCUUGUUUAAGGAUAAAAAACAGUAAAGCAGGAUGAUCAGCCUACCAGUAUACAAAAGUGGCAUUUGAGCAAAAUUUAACAUCAUUUGUACUAUAUAAUGAAAUUACACAUCCAUUUAUAUACCCUUUCUUUUGCUUUAGCAGGCUAACUAGCUAAAGGGCCAGGUGCUAGCAAAACUGGUGUCUGCUUAACAACAGUCCACAUGAGCAGGAAAUAAGUAGGAAUGUUGUGUUUCUCUAGCAGAUCCCAGUCUAGCAUGGUAUCUGUUGGUGUACUUCAAAGCCAAACACAAUCCUGCUGAAGUAAAAAAGGUACAGAGUUAAAUGCAUUAACUGCUUUACCGAGCCUGGAAGAGACAAACUGGGCAACUGCCACAGAGAACUUGCUGGAUUUCAGUGGAGGACUGUGGGGAACAGCACUGAACUACAGGUUCCAAGCCAUGUACUCCUGUAACAAGAUAGCUCAUGCUACUAAGAAGUGAGACAAGAGCUGAGGACAGGACCUGGGACAAGCAGGGCAUAGUCUAGGAUGGGGAGAGCUGGGACAGCUGACCUGGAGACAGACUUCAUAAUACACAGCAUCAUGCUCUGCAAGAAAACCAGGGGAGGCGAGUCUUGUUGUAAGUAGCCGCUCUUGGAGGUAGGCUGGACACCACUUUGCUGCUGGGCAGGUGUGGAAUUGCUUUUACAUCACUUGUUUUCUUCCAUAAUUUUCCUCUUUACUCAUUAACCUGUCUUCACUUUGACCCGUAACUGCUUUUUUGGUUUGUUUUGGGUUCCACCUUUUUCCUCCAUCCCAUUGGGAGGUUGCAGUGAGAAGUGACUGGAAGGGAGCUUAGCUGCUGCCCAGGAUCAACCCACCAAACCAAAAAAGCAGUCAGUGUUGGCUGUUGGGUGAGUUUGCCAGCAGCAGAAUGCCUCUUGCAGAGAGAGCAAUUAACAGCUGUGCCUCAGCCAUCUCUGUGGAAGCAGAGCAGGAGGAUGGAAGUGUGCAGCACAAAGACUUGAGCUGCUCAAACCUGGGACACAAGAGGACAUCUGGGUAAGGACAGAGAGCAGCAAUUCCUCACCUCUUAGUAAUUCACCAAGAGUUGUCAUGUAAGUGUAGGUCUGGUAUAGUAUGUGACGUUUCACAUACGUGCUGAAAAGCCAGACUGUGAGCCAGCUACCUAAAGCUCUGCUGACAUCUGGUGCUGAGCAGAAAAUGAGUUUUGCAAUAAGGUCCUCCACUUCGCAACACUAUCUUAUGGGACAGCAGUUGCAUUGUUCAUCCUGUCUCCCAAAACACAGCCUGCUUAGCAUACUCACAUGUCUAGGGAGUCUCAGUUCUCAGACAAAGCCUCUUUAGGAAUAUUUGAAAUUAACAAUGAAGUAAAAACUGAAAACUCCAUAUUAAUUAGUGGGAACAUCACAUUUUUGUCAAGAUUUUAAUCCCUCAUGGAGUAUAGAGCUGAGUUUUUAAUCAAUGGUUACCUUAAUUGUAAUAGAUUUUGUGUCUUGCAAUUUACUUCUUGAUAGAAUUGAUUAAAACAAAAAAAUUUUAGGCAUUUUUUCAAAAUCUGGUGUACUUCCACAAAAAUAAGAGAUAUUUGAGAGAAAUGCUUUAUAUUUUCAGAGUCAUAGAGCCAUCAUCUCCAACAACUAGAGUUGGGUAAGGGUUUCUAGGUAAUGAUUUUUUGCAAAAAAAAGACAUCAAGUAUUUUAAUUUUGCUAGUGAGUUAAACAGAAAUCAUAUUUCUGUUUCAAUUUUGCUGCUCUGCCCAUUUCUGUAUGUAUCAAUAUAUCAAUUGCCAGGAAUAAACCUCAAAAUCAAUUAUAAAUUAAAAUCAAUUUUUUAAACAUUCCAGUUUUGUGAGAGAAUUUCAAACAAAACUAUUUCUAAAGAUGUUUUUGUUUGUACUGCUCCUGUAAAUUUUCAGGGGGCGUGUUAGCAAAAAAACAUUGUUAGUUAUCAAAAAACAUUGCUGGAAUGUUUCCAUGCUCUCAGAAAACUGUCAUUUUUUUUUUCCCUUUCUGAGAAAAAGAAAGGGUGAGCUGUCUGCUUUCAGGACAUUGAAGCCUAAUGUGUUACAAAACCACUCAGGAUGAAAUAAUAAAAAUUGAUAUGAAAAAAUCUGAAAAAAAAAACUAGCCAUUUCCAUGUAGAAAAACUGUGCCGCAUAAUACAAACAUGUUAAAUGGACUGGAUAGAUAAAAUAUAUCUGAAUUUUUAAGUGCUUGUGAGAGCCUUCCAUGGAAAAUCUUUCAGGAAGAUGCAUAGGCAUAGAAAGGAAAAGGGAAGUGCUAUGACAAAUAAAACUAGCUAGGAAAAGCCAUGAGAUUGAACAUCCAGCCCUCAACAUGGCAAAGCAUAUCAUAUAUUCAGACCUGUUCUUCAACAUAAAGAAGUUAAUUAGGUCAU
Taeniopygia guttata (zebra finch) is the source of this 3610-nucleotide non-coding RNA. The record is from RefSeq and is a predicted model, not a curated record. NCBI's taxonomy places the organism in Eukaryota, Metazoa, Chordata, Aves, Passeriformes, Estrildidae.